Molecule: ribosomal RNA, 253 nt
Filed under: uncultured bacterium
Lineage: Bacteria
Description: partial 16S ribosomal RNA
Rfam family: Bacterial small subunit ribosomal RNA
Source: RNAcentral
UACGUAGGGGCCCAGCGUUGUCCGGAUUUACUGGGCGUAAAGAGCGCGCAGGCGGUCGUUCAAGUCGAGUGUGAAAGCCCCCGGCUCAACUGGGGAGGGUCACUCGAUACUGAUCGACUUGAAGGCGGGAGAGGGAAGCGGAAUUCCCGGUGUAGUGGUGAAAUGCGCAGAUAUCAGGAGGAACACCGGUGGCGAAGGCGGGUCUCUGGGCAGCUACUGACGCUGAGGAGCGAAAGCGUGGGGAGCGAACAGG